ACGGGUGAGUAACACGUGGGAACCUUCCUAGAGGUACGGAACAACGCAGGGAAACUUGCGCUAAUACCGUAUAAGCUCUUGCGAGGAAAGAUUUAUCGCCUUUAGACGGGCCCGCGUAGGAUUAGGUAGUUGGUGGGGUAACGGCCUACCAAGCCUACGAUCCUUAGCUGAUCUGAGAGGAUGAUCAGCCACACUGGAACUGAGACACGGUCCAGACUCCUACGGGAGGCAGCAGUGGGGAAUCUUGGACAAUGGGCGCAAGCCUGAUCCAGCCAUGCCGCGUGAGUGAAGAAGGCCUUCGGGUUGUAAAGCUCUUUUGUCAGGGACGAUAAUGACGGUACCUGAAGAAUAAGCCCCGGCAAACUUCGUGCCAGCAGCCGCGGUAAUACGAAGGGGGCUAGCGUUGUUCGGAUUUACUGGGCGUAAAGCGCACGUAGGUGGAUUGUUAAGUGAGAGGUGAAAUCCCAGGGCUCAACCCUGGAACUGCCUUUCAUACUGGCAAUCCUGAGUUCGGAAGAGGUGAGUGGAAUUCCAAGU
Molecule: ribosomal RNA, 537 nt
Filed under: uncultured bacterium
Lineage: Bacteria
Description: bacterial SSU rRNA
Rfam family: Bacterial small subunit ribosomal RNA
Source: RNAcentral